This 497-nucleotide ribosomal RNA is filed under the name uncultured bacterium. RNAcentral's name for it is "partial 16S ribosomal RNA". It matches the Rfam family "Bacterial small subunit ribosomal RNA", at positions 28 to 507 of the family's 1533-position model. The record is from RNAcentral.
GAUGAACGCUGGCGGCGUGCCUAAUACAUGCAAGUCGAGCGAACAGAUAAGGAGCUUGCUCCUUUGACGUUAGCGGCGGACGGGUGAGUAACACGUGGGUAACCUACCUAUAAGACUGGGAUAACUUCGGGAAACCGGAGCUAAUACCGGAUAAUAUUUCGAACCGCAUGGUUCGAUAGUGAAAGAUGGUUUUGCUAUCACUUAUAGAUGGACCCGCGCCGGAUUAGCUAGUUGGUAAGGUAACGGCUUACCAAGGCGACGAUACGUAGCCGACCUGAGAGGGUGAUCGGCCACACUGGAACUGAGACACGGUCCAGACUCCUACGGGAGGCAGCAGUAGGGAAUCUUCCGCAAUGGGCGAAAGCCUGACGGAGCAACGCCGCGUGAGUGAUGAAGGUCUUCGGAUCGUAAAACUCUGUUAUUAGGGAAGAACAUACGUGUAAGUAACUGUGCACGUCUUGACGGUACCUACUCAGAAAGCCCCGGCUAACUACGUG